Molecule: long non-coding RNA, 366 nt
Organism: Leguminivora glycinivorella
Lineage: Eukaryota; Metazoa; Arthropoda; Insecta; Lepidoptera; Tortricidae
Exons: 2
Source: RefSeq, a predicted model, not a curated record
AGAAACAUGCUAAGGGUGGGAGUGCUCCUUGGAGAUCCUCGGUCUGCAGUCUGCAGGUCUCCGGAGUCGGGAAGAAGUAAAGAAUUAGAGAAUUGCAGAAGUAGAUAAUUAAACAAGAACCUUUACAAUUUCGAUGUGCAAGGAAACUUUCUUUGGCGUUACUGGCGCAAGGUGCCUUUGGACCUUGUUUUCGUAUGGAAGGGUCAGCCCUGUCCACGUGGCGAGGGGGCGUCAGCACCGGAGUCCGGGGAGCAGCCGGCUCAUCCCUGACAAGGUGUGUCUCCUGCCGUUUCCUGCCGGUAAUGCUGUGUAAUUCAGGUUUUAAUUUCUGUGUAAAGUAAUUUCUGAUUUCAUUUAUUUUGAGAA